This is a non-coding RNA of Macaca mulatta (Rhesus monkey), 2577 nucleotides long. Lineage: Eukaryota; Metazoa; Chordata; Mammalia; Primates; Cercopithecidae. The record is from RefSeq and is a predicted model, not a curated record.
CGUUUGCCUCCUGCCCUAGGAGAAACGUUCGCUCCGGAGGCUUGGGCUGCGGAGCCCGUUGUGGCCACUGAGUCCUUCGACGCCCUCGCCAGGCUGGCCUUUGGGUUGGCCCAGACAGGACGGGCUGCAGAGAGCACUUGGGCCGCGUCGCCAGGAGGCGCCCAAAGUGAGCCAUGCCCGAAGACGUCGCCCGGCGCUCUGAGGACCAGUAUGAAGUCCCAGGAAGAGUAGAGCCGCGGGAGGCCGCACGGGCCCGGCCUGCUAAGGACUGGAGGGCCAGGGAAUCCCUGAAGUCCUCGAAGUCCUCAAAGUCCUCGAAGAAGGUCGGGAAAAAAUACCGGUAUCUGAGACUACUUCCAGAGGCCUUGAUAAGGUUCGGCGGUUUCCGAAAAAGGAAAAAAGACAAGUCCUCAGUUUCCAAGAAGCCGGGAGAACUGGAUGACAGUUCGGAGCAGCCCUGUGGUUUGGGCUGUCUAGUCAGCCCCUGCUGUGAGUGUUGCAAUAACAUUUGCUGCUUCAUGGUUUUCUACUGCAUCCUCGUCUUAUGUCAAGGUGUGGUGUUUGGUCUUACAGAUGUCAGCAUUGGCAAUGUUCAGAGGGAAUAUUCUCUGAAAACCAUUGAAAAGUUGGCAUUGGAAUUGAGUUAUGAUAUUUCAUCUGGACUGGUAGUAAUGUUUAUAGCAUUCUAUGGAGACAGAAAAAAAGUAACAUGGUUUGUAGCUUCCUCCUUUCUUAUAGGACUUGGAUCACUUUUGUGUGCUCUUCCAUUCAUUAAUGAAGAAAAAAAUAAAAGUAAGGUAGGAAUUGAAGAUAUUUGCACAGAAAUAAAGGUUGUCAGUGGUUGCCAGAGCAGUGAUGCAUCGUUCCAAUCAAAAUACCUGUAUUUCAUCACCCUUGGGCAGACUAUGCAGGGAAUAGCAGGAAUGCCUCUUUAUAUCCUUGGAACAACCUUUAUUGAUGAGAACGUUGCUACACACUCAGCUGGUAUCUAUGUAGGUAUUGCAGAAUGCAUGUCAAUGAUUGGAUAUGGUAUGGGUUAUGUGAUAGGAGCACCACUAGUUAAAGUCCCUGAGAAUAGUACUUCUGCAACAAACACUACAGGCACAAAUGGUAGUACAGAAUGGCUAUGGACUUGGUGGAUUCGUUUUCUUUCUGCCGCUCUCAUUGCAUGGUUUACAUUAAUACCAUUGUCAUGCUUUCCACACAAUAUGCCAGGUUCAACACGGAUAAAAGCUGCGAAACGUAAACAGCGUCAUUGGUUUGACAGCAAACUUAAAGAUCUGCAAGUUGGAACUAGUAUCAAGGAUUUAUGUGCUGUUUUUUGGAUUCUGAUGAAAAAUCCAGUGCUAAUAUGCCUAUCUCUGUCAAAAGCUACAGAAUAUUUAGUUAUUAUUGGAGCUGCUGAAUUUUUGCCUAUAUAUUUAGAAAAUCAGUUUAUGUUAACACCCCCUGCGGCAACUAUACUUGCAGGACUUGUUUUAAUUCCAGGAGGUGCACUUGGCCAGCUUCUGGGAGGUAUCAUUGCUUCCACAUUAGAAAUGUCUUGUAAAGCCCUUAUGAGAUUUAUAAUGGCUACAUCUGUGAUAUCACUUAUACUGCUCAUGUUUAUUACUUUGGUACGCUGUAAUCCACUGCAGUUUGCUGGGAUCAAUGAAGAUUAUGAUGGAGAAGGGCAGUUGGGAAACCUCACGGCUCCUUGCAAUGAAAAAUGUAGAUGCUCAUCUUCAGUUUAUUCUUCUAUAUGUGGAAGAGAUGAUAUCGAAUACUUUUCUCCCUGCUUUGCAGGGUGUAUGUAUUCUAAAGCACUAACCCGAAAAAAGACAUACUACAAUUGUUCUUGCAUUAAAGAAGGAUUAAUAACUGCAGAUGAAGAAGGUGAUUUUAUUGAUGCCAGACGUGGGAAAUGUGAUGCAAAGUGCUAUAAAUUACCUUUGUUCGUUGCUUUUAUCUUUUCUACGCUUGUAUUUUCUGGUUUUUCUGGUGUACCAAUCGCCUUGACCAUCAUGCGGAUUGUACCUGUCCAACUGCGUUCUCUGGCCUUGGGUGUAUGCUAUGUGGUUUUGAGAAUAUUUGGGACUAUUCCUGGACCGUCAAUCUUUAAAAUGUCAGGAGAAAAUUCUUGUAUUUUCCGGGAUGUUAAUGAAUGUGGAUACACAGGACGUUGUUGGAUAUAUAACAAGACAAGAAUGGCUUACCUAUUUGUAGGAAUAUCUUUUCUCUGCAAACUAUGCACUAUCAUCUUCACUACUACUGCAUUUUUUAUGUACAAACGUCAGGUAAAUGAGAGCACUGACAUCCCAAAUAUAACUGUGAAGAAUCCAAAAGUUAAGAAAGAAAGAAACUGACUUGUAACUGGAUCAUCAUCGUGUAAGAAUUACACAUUGUCAAUCUAUCAAUGAUGCAGAUCGUUUGAGGAUCAGAGUGUGAAAAUGAGUUUCUCUUUUAAAGAUUCUCCAACAUUUGUUUCUGUGCCCAACUUUCAGAAGAGGAAAAUCACAAAUGAUGUUGACAUAAGUAGCAAAAAUGUAUUUAUGGUGAUCUGCAUUUUCAUAAUAAAGUGCUCUAUUAUGAAACAUU